CCCAGAAGGGAAGUUACCUGGAUUUCCCCUGAGAUAAACUGAAGUCCAUUGGGCUGGGCGCAGCUUGCUGACUUCUGUUCUCCUCCAGAACUAAAGGUCACAGAUAUGACCAAUACUUGUGGGAGGAUUGAUUACCGGUAUCUCUUGCUGACAUUUCUCAUUCUGGGAUAGUAGUUCAGGGAAAGAAUCUAAAAAAAUCUCAUAGGCCAUUUUAUUGAAUUCCACUCAGAAAGCAUUCCAGCAUUCAUGGACUCGAAGUAUGUCCUGGGAUGACAAUGAUUUAAAAAAGGGAGAAAUCAACAGUUCUUCCACAGAAUAGCAAAGGGGCUUCACUGCCUCUUGACAGAUAGCCCUGAAUGUCUGGCUGCCUGCUGGGCAUCUACAGAUGCAUGGGAAUGGCAAAACUUCAGAUGUCUACGACCUCAUCUUCAGAGACUUCACUCUGGUCGUUACGUCCAUCAAAUUCCUACAUACUUAAGGCCCAUGUCAAAAGCCGCCUCAUCAACGCAGCCUUCCAUGAUGUCCUCUCAUAGCUGUGAUCCUCUCCUCCUUUGAAAUCCAUGGGCCAGUAUAAUACUCCUUCUACUCUGCCUUGCACUGGACUCUUCUACCUCCAAUACCAUGUGGUGUUACAGGCACGGAAGACAGAUGGGCUCAUCCCCACUUACACACCUUAGCGGCCGUGUGCCGUGGGAAAGUCGUUGAAGGGCUGUCCGUCAGUUUACUCAUCUAAUAGUGGGAAGGACAAGCAUUCUUAUUUCUCAGGGUACAUGUGAGGACUCGUGGAAAUAACGUGAGCAAAGGGUCUAUUAUAGUACCUGGUACCAAAUACUGAUUUCCUAAAUAUCAGCACUUCCUCUCUAUCUUCUGUACCAGCGUGCCAGUUUCAUGAACACUGGGAUUGUUCAAUUCUUUUUUCAUCUGCUGAGGUUCUCACCAGCACACGAUCCUAAAACAUGGUGGGCUCCCCAAAAAUACUUGUUGGGUUAACUUUUAUUUAGUCAAGAUAACUUUUUUUUUUUUAAAGCUUAUUUAUUGUAUUUAAGUAAUCUCUACGGCCAAUGUAGGGCUUGAACGCAAGACCCUGAGACCAAGAGUCACAUACUUUUCUGACUGAAGUAACCAGGCACCAGAGUAAGAUAACUUUAACUGUUUAAAUAAAUGGUUAUAAUAAAUUGUCUUUAAAUUUUAGGCAACACUUACUGAUACUGAUAAGCUUUAUUUGAUUUUUGGGGGUAAAAUCUUAUCUCAGGGUAUCUCCGAACAUUUUCUUGGGCACAAAAAGAAUGAUACUGUUGGCAGUCUAUGCUGCCCACAUUGAUCAGUCCAGUUAAUGUCUAUAAAAGAGAAAAGAGGAGAUAAAUAGAUCAAAGUGAUUAGAAUAAAAUUACCUCCAUAACUAUUUGUUUACAUUAGAGAAAUCAUCACUGUGAGAUGGUUAUGUUAUUUAUCAGUGAUUUUCACCAAAUAAAAAUAGGUAAGGGUUUAAAACAUUAUAGUAAUGAAUUGAAAAUGUAAUGUUGAAGUUAAGACCUUACUGCAGAUUAAACAAUAGAUUUCGUUCAUGUUCUAUGCAGGGGGAAAAUUUGGUAUCUCUAAAAUUUAAUGUAAGAAACCAGGAACUAAUGAAGGUCUCUGCAAUGGUAUUUCCAAUGUAUUUUUCAAAUAGAGUCUGGCAUUGCAGCACAUUGAAUCAUGCUCAACUUUAAAAAUUUUACUGAAAAGAGAACUCUUUUGAACUCUUUGGCUUAUGCAUUUUUUUCUUAGAAACAUAGUGAUUUCAUUUUCCAUUAUCAUAUUUAAAUAACUUUUUUCCAAUCUUUUGUGCUUUAUAUAACACUCUGUAUAGAAAAUAGAUUUUUGGAAAAAAAAAAAAAGAAAAUAGAUUUUUGGGAUGACUUUGGCAGAAAUUUGGUCAUAUAUGUAACAAAUAAGUGACGCAGGAAAAAAAAGAUUCUAUUCACUCAACCAGACAGAAACAGAGUUGAAAUCUAACUGGUAUAACUGGAACUGUUAAAUGAUAAUCUGGAGGUGGGUUCAUCUCAGUUUCAAAAUAGUUCUGUUAAAUAAACAUUCAUGCUACAUGUUAAGAUUUAAAAUAAAUUACUAUACUAUACCCGGGCCAUUCUUUUCCAUUCUGGCAUUAGGACUUGACAUGGAUGACACCAUGGAGAAUAGAAAUCAACCAUCCAGACUUCGUCAUGUUUUCUCUGUUUAACCAGUUCAUUGAAAGUGGUGGGUGUCAGGGAGAUCACUG
Canis lupus familiaris (dog) is the source of this 2257-nucleotide long non-coding RNA. RefSeq lists it as uncharacterized. The record is from RefSeq and is a predicted model, not a curated record. NCBI's taxonomy places the organism in Eukaryota, Metazoa, Chordata, Mammalia, Carnivora, Canidae. The transcript has 3 exons.